RNAcentral lists this long non-coding RNA (4388 nucleotides) under Capsicum annuum. Its description in RNAcentral is "long non-coding RNA (CANN_LNC011665)". The record is from RNAcentral. Lineage: Eukaryota; Viridiplantae; Streptophyta; Magnoliopsida; Solanales; Solanaceae.
AAUCUGAGAAGGAUUUUGCAAAUUUGGAAAUGAAUUUGGUGGAUUCGGGGAUAGAUUUGAUGGAAGAUUUGGUGAUGUAUUUUAUGGAUUUGGGAGUGAAUUUUGUGGAUUUGGGAGUGAAUUCUAUUGAUUUGAAAACGGGUUCUGGGAAUUUGGGAAUGGAUUUGGAGAUGGGUUUUGCGGGGUUAGAGAUAGAUUUUGUGGAUGGUAGACAUUUGAGUUAUUUUUGUGAUUGGUGUUUUGGAAAAUUUGAGAAGAGGAGAUGGACGAUAUGUUGUUUAGAUGAUCCUCGAUAAUUGGCAUACUAAGGGUAAUAAUGUUUAGAUGGAAAGGGAAUAAUGUCCCACUCAGGGGAUACUAAUUACUGAAUGCUUCUUCUAUAGGUCUUCGCGCUCUUAGCUUCGUCCAUUUCUUAUAUUGGUGACAUCCAUUGACGUUCAAACUGUGCCUUAGAUGUAACAUCCCAAAUCAAUCAAUUUCUUGCAAAUAAAGCUUUUUCCCGACCCCUAAAGGAUAAUGGAUUGAAUUAGAAAGGCAUACAUUUUCUUAAACACAUAAAUAAGAUUCGUCUAUAAUUGACUCAGGUUCAAUAGACGUAGGGCAGGUUUUCUAAUAGGCACAAUACCCCGCUCGAGUAUUGGGUCAUCUUGGGGUCAUGCCUAAAAUAGGGUUUUGGUUUAGUUCUAUCCUAGGUGUCUAGAGUGGGUUUUAACUCUGGUUCUCAAGCGGACAACUUGAGUUUGAAAAUACGAACAACCAUCAGACGACUCACGUGCUAAUAAGUUGUUCGUAUUUCCAACAUAUUUUUGGAAUUGAACAACAGGGGCCGGGACAUCCACGAAACCCCAAAAUAGUUUAAAUAAUACAGGAAUAUGCCAUGAGAUGCGAUAGUUAAACUUUACAGAAUCAAAACGUAUAAACACAUAAAAAGUUAAUCAAAAGACGAAAUCAAACAUUUGGUUAGAACCUAAUUAAAAAUCCCCAGUAGAGUCGUCAUUUCUAUUUUGCGAGAAAAUUUUGACUUUUAGAAGAGAGUCGCCACUUAAUUUUGAAAAAGAAUUAAGAAACCUUAAUAAAACACUUUAAACGAUUCAAAACAGGGAAAUUGUUUUAGGCUAGAGAUUCUAGAUAAGCGGUUCCUAUUAAAGUUUUAGGAAGGUGUUAGGCACCUAAAACGUCCGCUAACUUGCAGUUAUCCGAACUGUUUGAAAAUUGUCUUUGAUUAACCUUGAAAAAGUUGAUUUUUGAAAAGAAAAACGAUUUUAGGAAUAAGUUUUUUGCAAAAUCAGAUUUUUAACGACUUAGUUAAGGAUUCAACUAGGUUCGUAAGAAACACGUAAAAUAAGUAAGAAAAAGAGAAAGGGGAAAGGGGAGAAGUAGUGAUUUAGGAUUUUAAGCCCAAACCAUCGACCCUGUCCUAAUCUAGGUUGGUUUUUUGAUCCAUUUUCACCUGUCCUAGUUCUAUGUUUCCGAGCCCUUUUUGCCUCGAGUUUCACUCCACCUGUAUUAGAUACAACUUUGGCUUCGAGGCCCAAAAUGUACAAAUAAAGGAAUAAGUAAAUAAAUACAACCACAAUAGAUAAAUAACGAUAACAAAUAAAUAAACAGAAAUGAAGCUUAGGUAUCGUCGCCGCUUCAAGAAUGGGACUUUAACCCAUUUCGUAUCCGUGCACUAUGAGAUCGACUUCCAAAAUCUUCCAGAAAGGAUAGGCCUCAAUGGCCCAUUAAGAAAUGCAAAGAGUCCAUUUGUACUCCAACGAAUUCACUUGCAAAAGAAAAGGAAGAAAGAAAAGAAAUUAAUAUGCAUCCAAAAUAUGAAAUGCCACAUGAAUAAAUGAUAUAACAAGUCGGUACAUGAUCAGAAAACUGUGGUAAUCCAAAAAUAAAUAGUAGACUGUGAAUCCGAAUAUAGAAGUGCCAAGAAAAUGGGCUUGUUUAACAUGGUAGAGCCAUACAAUCGGAAAGAGAAUUCUGACUAAAUUAAAUUGGCAAAAUUAUAAAGUUGUGAUUUUUCUUCUUUUAAAUAAAAUGGACUAACAAUCAACUCAGAAAUUAAACCAAUUAACAGAACUAGAAUGGAUAUAAACUACCGCAAAUAGUGAAUCAAAGAACUUCAGCAGACACCAUAUUAGGUAAAACAAUGAGCUACUCGUCAAGGUGAAACAUACUACAAUGGAUCUAAGCUACUACAGGCAAUACAUAUUUGAAAUCUGGAAUUAGAGAUCAUAGCAGUAAGUAAGAUUCUUCGAGAAAAUCAGCAUUUAGUGAUAGAAAAUCUAAGUCAAAGGGGACUAAGACUAAGGUAAGGAAAAUAUAUCCGACUAUGAAUCGAGCUAUAUAACUAGCAUUGAAAGGCGAAGACUAAUGCUAAAAUAACAAAAUAGAAUUUAAACCCGCACCAAAACUAGAACCACAGUUUAGUACGUCGACCAACCCGUAUCACAAAGUCCUAUUUAGAUUUUCAAAAUUCCACGACAAUAUAUUUUCCAGCGAAACGAGAUUACGCCAAUGACUACAACAAGCUAUUUUUAGUAAAACACAAAUACGAUGAAGGCAAUAGCAGCUAGUCCAAGCAUACAGAAGAGAAUUAAACUACUAAUACUUCAUAAAGGCAAAGAAAAUAAGAAAACCUCGUAUGAAACAUGAUGAUAAAUUCUAAGAGCCAGCAACCCAAAUAGUUGAUAUUUUAUCUCAACUAAACUCUCAUCACCGCAAGUAAUAUUUAUACUACUAAAUGUUAUGGAUGAAAAGGUUAUGAAUCGUCAUAACAACAUAUGAGCUAACGAACCUAAACUACACAAUCAAUGUCAAACUAAGCACACUAAGACUUCAAAUAGUGAGUUACACUCGUGAUCUUUUUAAAGGAUUGAAUGUGAAAUUCAGAGAUGAUAAAUAUCAACAAAGGGAGAAAAAAAAGUUAUCACAACAAAUGAAUAAUCGAAAAGAAACAAUUCUAGUAAAGCAAGGGACUUAUAUGAUGUAUUUGUUAUCCCUUCUUGUAAUUUCUUGUCGAGAGGUAUUUGAGGAACAUCUUCACAUGCUUACGAUGAAUUAGAAGACAAUCGCAAAACAAACCCAAGAAUGAGUGAAUUACUAGAAAUACUGAACUAGAACAAUAAAAGGCUUAAAACAGCAAAUUUGUUCAGUCAAAAACUAUAAUACUCAGGGCAUGAAAAGCUAGUGAUUAAUGACAUAAAAUUUGUAGCACAAUAAUGACAACCUAAAGAGUAUAUCUACGAAAGGUAGCGCACAAAAGAAACAGUAACCAUUAUUUGACGGUAUUGUCAUAAAAUAAUAAACUUUAAAGUGAAUCGAAGCACGCGACAUUAACUGGAGCAAGAAACAACGAACAUCACAGUAACAAGCAUCAUAAUAAAACCUAUGGCCAUCAAAUGGCGUCUACAGCGAACAAUCCAGCACAAGAUCAUUAGAACAACACUUUUCACUACAGAAUGAUGUGAUGAAGUAGAAGUACUCAAAAACUUAAAUGGAAGCGGAAUGUUACCUUUUGGGGAGCAGCAAAAUGGAAUAAAUGGGAUGACAUCGGGAUACACCACCACUAGUAAUCAGUGAUAUCAACUCUGGAACCUCCGAUUAACCGGCCAAAUUUCAGAAAGAAGAAAGAAAAAGAGAAUUUUUUAGGAAAAGAAAUUAUUUUGCUCUCCAACUUUCUUCCCAUUCUCUCUCUAAUUUUUUUUUCUUUUGUCCAAGAAAAUUUCUCAACCCCCUCUACUCGAUCCAAAAGAAAUUUUUUCAACCAAUUUCCAACACCCAAAGUUUUGAACCCUCGAAUUUCCAGCCUCCCCACAAUUUCUCAAUCAAUUUUCCAACACCCAAAGUUUUGAACCCCCAAAAACAAUGACCCAAAGGAUUUUUAUAUACAAGACUGAAUUAGGGGUAUUUUGGGACUUGAAAAAAAAGGAUAUUUUUUGAAUUCCAAAUUCAAAUCUCUCUACAGCUUGGUUUUCAUCUACAAACGUACCCAUUUUUUGAAAUUAGUGGACCAAUAAGAUUUAGGAAAAAUGAAUUUUCCCCUAGAGCCAAUGAAAUUGUGACAUACAUGAACAAAAUCGUACCCCUCAUAGCCGAGAUUCACAGAAUUAAGCCAUUGAGGGGACACUUGGACCUAUUCUAGAAGCUUCUAGGGUUUUCCUUGUCCUACUGCCAUGUGAGAUGCAUGAAGGGGGAAAAGAGUUGUUUAGGAUGGAUUUCAGGUUGGGUCAAUGGAUUGCUGGUUAGUUGAUAUCGGGUUGUGGCUGAGAAACGGGUCGACAGAUCGUCGACAUCGUUGGAGCUGAAGGGAUCGGGUAUUUAGAGUUGGCUGUGUUUUUCUAUUUGUGCAAUGUUAAAAAUUAUUCAUGUUUUGUGUGUUAUUGUUGAUGAAGGGA